Long non-coding RNA from Loxodonta africana (African savanna elephant), 292 nucleotides. RefSeq lists it as uncharacterized. The transcript has 2 exons. Lineage: Eukaryota; Metazoa; Chordata; Mammalia; Proboscidea; Elephantidae. The record is from RefSeq and is a predicted model, not a curated record.
CCGACGGCGAUGACGCGGGGCUCCCCAACGCCGGGCCGGGACACGGCGGUGAAGAGAAAGUUCAGGGAGUGGGAGCCUGGGAGCGGGGAGCGGCUGAGACCACCGACCCUCUCCCUAGGCCGUUUCCCUCCUGACCACACACUCACCCGCCCGGGUCUGGGUCAGGGGCAGGGUCCCGGAGAGCAACAAGAGGAGGAUCUGGGAAGCCAUUAGCAUGAUCACUGGAGUCUGGGGAGACUGAGUUCCAGUGGGUCCGUGCGCCCCUUAUAACCGGGAACCGAGGAGACACUGA